GACGAACGCUGGCGGCGUGCCUAAUACAUGCAAGUAGAACGCACAGUUUAUACCGUAGCUUGCUACACCAUAGACUGUGAGUUGCGAACGGGUGAGUAACGCGUAGGUAACCUGCCUGGUAGCGGGGGAUAACUAUUGGAAACGAUAGCUAAUACCGCAUAAUAUUAAUUAUUGCAUGAUAAUUAAUUGAAAGGUGCAAUUGCACCACUACCAGAUGGACCUGCGUUGUAUUAGCUAGUAGGUGAGGUAACGGCUCACCUAGGCGACGAUACAUAGCCGACCUGAGAGGGUGAUCGGCCACACUGGGACUGAGACACGGCCCAGACUCCUACGGGAGGCAACAGUAGGGAAUCUUCGGCAAUGGACGAAAGUCUGACCGAGCAACGCCGCGGGAGUGAAGAAGGUUUUCGGAUCGUAAAGCUCUGUUGUAAGAGAAGAACGGGUGUGAGAGUGGAAAGUUCACACUGUGACGGUAUCUUACCAGAAAGGGACGGCUAACUACGUG
RNAcentral lists this ribosomal RNA (505 nucleotides) under uncultured bacterium. Its description in RNAcentral is "partial 16S ribosomal RNA". It matches the Rfam family "Bacterial small subunit ribosomal RNA", at positions 28 to 507 of the family's 1533-position model. The record is from RNAcentral.